UACGUAGGGUGCGAGCGUUGUCCGGAAUUAUUGGGCGUAAAGGGCUCGUAGGCGGUUUGUCGCGUCGGGAGUGAAAACCUUGGGCUUAACUCAGGGCUUGCUUUCGAUACGGGCAGACUAGAGGUAUGCAGGGGAGAACGGAAUUCCUGGUGUAGCGGUGAAAUGCGCAGAUAUCAGGAGGAACACCGGUGGCGAAGGCGGUGCUCUGGGCAGGAACUGACGCUGAGGAGCGAAAGUGUGGGGAGCGAACAGG
Molecule: ribosomal RNA, 253 nt
Filed under: uncultured bacterium
Lineage: Bacteria
Description: partial 16S ribosomal RNA
Rfam family: Bacterial small subunit ribosomal RNA
Source: RNAcentral